Molecule: ribosomal RNA, 424 nt
Filed under: uncultured bacterium
Lineage: Bacteria
Description: bacterial SSU rRNA
Rfam family: Bacterial small subunit ribosomal RNA
Source: RNAcentral
AUUGAACGCUGGCGGAAUGCUUUACACAUGCAAGUCGAACGGCAGCACGGACUUCGGUCUGGUGGCGAGUGGCGAACGGGUGAGUAAUACAUCGGAACGCGUCCUGUAAUGGGGGAUAACCUGGCGAAAGCCAGGCUAAUACCGCAUACGUCCUGAGGGAGAAAGCGGGGGAUCGCAAGACCUCGCGUUAUAGGAGCGGCCGAUGUCGGAUUAGCUAGUUGGUGGGGUAAAGGCCUACCAAGGCGACGAUCUGUAGCUGGUCUGAGAGGAUGGCCAGCCACACUGGAACUGAGACACGGUCCAGACUCCUACGGGAGGCAGCAGUGGGGAAUAUUGGACAAUGGGGGCAACCCUGAUCCAGCCAUGCCGCGUGUGUGAAGAAGGCCUCGGUUGUAAGUACGACUUAAGUACGAGGAGGAAGGUU